This 519-nucleotide ribosomal RNA is filed under the name uncultured bacterium. RNAcentral's name for it is "partial 16S ribosomal RNA". It matches the Rfam family "Bacterial small subunit ribosomal RNA", at positions 28 to 507 of the family's 1533-position model. The record is from RNAcentral.
GACGAACGCUGGCGGCGUGCCUAAUACAUGCAAGUCGAGCGAGUCUGCCUUGAAGAUCGGAGUGCUUGCACUCUGUGAAACAAGAUACAGGCUAGCGGCGGACGGGUGAGUAACACGUGGGUAACCUGCCCAAGAGAUCGGGAUAACACCUGGAAACAGAUGCUAAUACCGGAUAACAACAGAUGAUGCCUAUCAACUGUUUAAAAGAUGGUUCUGCUAUCACUCUUGGAUGGACCUGCGGUGCAUUAGCUAGUUGGUAGGGUAACGGCCUACCAAGGCGAUGAUGCGUAGCCGAGUUGAGAGGCUGAUCGGCCACAUUGGGACUGAGACACGGCCCAAACUCCUACGGGAGGCAGCAGUAGGGAAUCUUCCACAAUGGACGCAAGUCUGAUGGAGCAACGCCGCGUGAGUGAAGAAGGGUUUCGGCUCGUAAAGCUCUGUUGUUGGUGAAGAAGGACAGGGGUAGUAACUGACCUUUGUUUGACGGUAAUCAAUGAGAAAGUCACGGCUAACUACGUG